Molecule: ribosomal RNA, 1380 nt
Filed under: uncultured bacterium
Lineage: Bacteria
Description: bacterial SSU rRNA
Rfam family: Bacterial small subunit ribosomal RNA
Source: RNAcentral
GAAUUCGCCCUUAGAGUUUGAUCCUGGCUCAGGACGAACGCUGGCGGCGCGCCUAACACAUGCAAGUCGAACGAGCGAGAGAGCUUGCUUUCUCGAGCGAGUGGCGAACGGGUGAGUAACGCGUGAGGAACCUGCCUCAAAGAGGGGGACAACAGUUGGAAACGACUGCUAAUACCGCAUAAGCCCACGGGUCGGCAUCGACCAGAGGGAAAAGGAGCAAUCCGCUUUGAGAUGGCCUCGCGUCCGAUUAGCUAGUUGGUGAGGUAACGGCCCACCAAGGCAACGAUCGGUAGCCGGACUGAGAGGUUGAACGGCCACAUUGGGACUGAGACACGGCCCAGACUCCUACGGGAGGCAGCAGUGGGGAAUAUUGCACAAUGGGGGAAACCCUGAUGCAGCGACGCCGCGUGGAGGAAGAAGGUCUUCGGAUUGUAAACUCCUGUUGUUGAGGAAGAUAAUGACGGUACUCAACAAGGAAGUGACGGCUAACUACGUGCCAGCAGCCGCGGUAAAACGUAGGUCACAAGCGUUGUCCGGAAUUACUGGGUGUAAAGGGAGCGCAGGCGGGAAGACAAGUUGGAAGUGAAAUCCAUGGGCUCAACCCAUGAACUGCUUUCAAAACUGUUUUUCUUGAGUAGUGCAGAGGUAGGCGGAAUUCCCGGCGUAGCGGUGGAAUGCGUAGAUAUCGGGAGGAACACCAGUGGCGAAGGCGGCCUACUGGGCACCAACUGACGCUGAGGCUCGAAAGUGUGGGUAGCAAACAGGAUUAGAUACCCUGGUAGUCCACACCGUAAACGAUGAUUACUAGGUGUUGGAGGAUUGACCCCUUCAGUGCCGCAGUUAACACAAUAAGUAAUCCACCUGGGGAGUACGACCGCAAGGUUGAAACUCAAAGGAAUUGACGGGGGCCCGCACAAGCAGUGGAGUAUGUGGUUUAAUUCGACGCAACGCGAAGAACCUUACCAAGUCUUGACAUCCUGCGACGGUGCUGGAAACAGUGCUUUCCUUCGGGACGCAGAGACAGGUGGUGCAUGGUUGUCGUCAGCUCGUGUCGUGAGAUGUUGGGUUAAGUCCCGCAACGAGCGCAACCCUUAUGGUCAGUUACUACGCAAGAGGACUCUGGCCAGACUGCCGUUGACAAAACGGAGGAAGGUGGGGAUGACGUCAAAUCAUCAUGCCCUUUAUGACUUGGGCUACACACGUACUACAAUGGCGUUAAACAAAGAGAAGCAAGACCGCGAGGUGGAGCAAAACUCAGAAACAACGUCCCAGUUCGGACUGCAGGCUGCAACUCGCCUGCACGAAGUCGGAAUUGCUAGUAAUCGUGGAUCAGCAUGCCACGGUGAAUACGUUCCCGGGCCUUGCACACACCGCCCGUCA